Molecule: long non-coding RNA, 486 nt
Filed under: Vombatus ursinus (common wombat)
Lineage: Eukaryota; Metazoa; Chordata; Mammalia; Diprotodontia; Vombatidae
Description: lncRNA (ENSVURG00010017938.1)
Source: RNAcentral
GCUAGAUUUCCUGUAGCACCUUUGGUCGGAACGAGCUGGAGAUCAUUCUAGGUCCCGGACUCAUUCCCAGCUCUUUACCUAUCUCUGCAGUGCCUGCCCUUUGAGAUCCAAACUGAGGCUGGGGCUGCUAAGUCCUGACUGUUACCGAUUCCAUCUUCUUUGUGCUCACAGCAUCCCCAUUAGACUCUAUAGGUGUCCAGUGUGGAGUACUAAAAGGAGUAUUCUACAGAGGAGGCAAACAUCUCAGCUCUAGUGAUGGUCCCUCCAAAAGUGACCUUGCCUUUAAGCCUCCAGGCCCUGGAAAGCAGGAAUCCAUCCUAAGAGGAGAAACAUUUGCUCCGCCUUGUCAGGAAUCCACCCUUCCUCAAGAGAGGAGCACAGAGUAGGAAGGAAUGAGUGCAGGACUGCUUAUGACCAGGUCACAGGUAAGUUGGGGUUCUUUGAUCUCUUUCCCCUAAUACGCCUUCUCCUGCCUGAGAGUAAAAA